Molecule: ribosomal RNA, 915 nt
Filed under: Triticum aestivum (bread wheat)
Lineage: Eukaryota; Viridiplantae; Streptophyta; Magnoliopsida; Poales; Poaceae
Description: partial small subunit ribosomal RNA
Source: RNAcentral
AUGUCGUAUAGUCGCUCUCAAACUUAUUCCAUGGCUGCUGAGCAGAGAUUUGUUCGAGAUGCUUCCAAGAAUAACAAUGUCGAAAGUUAUGUGCCAACAUCGCUACUACAUGCACCACCACAGCAGCAGCAUCAACCUCUACGCGAUCGCAGCAAGAAACGAACAAAGGAAGGGCCGGAACAACUCGACAGCACGAAAAGCUACACCCACAUGUCUGCACGAACAUGGCAGCCGGAUUCCACGGGACGGGACACGGUGUCCAUACGACCGAUGGACGGCGGAUCACUCCGGGAUGGCGACGAGCAUCGGCCGCCACUGCCUCCGCAUCAUCAGCCGCCGCCGGAACCCGCCGAACAUGAACCUCCGGUACUGCUGCACGGCCACGGCGCUAACUGCCAGCGGCGCGUCCGCUGUGGUUACCUCGGGGCGAACCAACUCCAUGUCCGCGUGAUGCUGCCGUUGCCGCUCAGGCGGCAGCAGCACGUGCUGGAAGACCUGGACGUCCUUCCUGGCGCUGCGGCGGACGGCGCCGGCGACGUCCGGCCCCAGGAGCUCCUCCAGGGAGCCGCUCCGGCCGAGGAGGCUCCUCUUCUCCCCGCAGCCGUCCCCCUGCUGGUCCCCGGCGCCCGCGGGCGGUCUGUGCAACUUGUUGCCGCGGCAGAGCAGCCGGCGCACCAGCAGCCACAGGCUCUUCGCCUUCGGCCUGAUCUGCAGCGUCCCCGCAGCCAUCUCUCCGACUAUCUCCUACCACUGCUCCCUCUCCCUCUCUCUGCCUCUCCGGGAUAUGGCCGUCGGAUUAUAUACCUCUCAAUCUCUCAUAUUCUUGUCCGGUUGGCGCCGCAGCUCGUCGCUCUGGAGGAGGAGUGGAGGACGACCGACCUGGGACCUGGGAUUCAGGGGAGGAUCCAGAAAUAA